Molecule: ribosomal RNA, 500 nt
Filed under: uncultured bacterium
Lineage: Bacteria
Description: partial 16S ribosomal RNA
Rfam family: Bacterial small subunit ribosomal RNA
Source: RNAcentral
AUUGAACGCUGGCGGCAUGCCUUACACAUGCAAGUCGAACGGCAGCACGGGAGCAAUCCUGGUGGCGAGUGGCGAACGGGUGAGUAAUAUAUCGGAACGUGCCCAGUCGUGGGGGAUAACGUAGCGAAAGCUACGCUAAUACCGCAUACGAUCUAUGGAUGAAAGCGGGGGAUCGCAAGACCUCGCGCGAUUGGAGCGGCCGAUAUCAGAUUAGCUAGUUGGUGGGGUAAAGGCCCACCAAGGCGACGAUCUGUAGCUGGUCUGAGAGGACGACCAGCCACACUGGGACUGAGACACGGCCCAGACUCCUACGGGAGGCAGCAGUGGGGAAUUUUGGACAAUGGGCGCAAGCCUGAUCCAGCAAUGCCGCGUGCAGGACGAAGGCCUUCGGGUUGUAAACUGCUUUUGUACGGAACGAAACGGCUCUCUCUAAUACAGGGGGCUAAUGACGGUACCGUAAGAAUAAGCACCGGCUAACUACGUGCCAGCCGCCGCCGUAA